Molecule: transfer RNA, 24 nt
Filed under: Xanthomixis zosterops (Spectacled tetraka)
Lineage: Eukaryota; Metazoa; Chordata; Aves; Passeriformes; Bernieridae
Description: partial tRNA-Arg
Source: RNAcentral
AAGAGAGUUAGUCUAACCAAGACA